This 378-nucleotide long non-coding RNA is filed under the name Populus trichocarpa (black cottonwood). RNAcentral describes it as "long non-coding RNA (PTRI_LNC004797)". Lineage: Eukaryota; Viridiplantae; Streptophyta; Magnoliopsida; Malpighiales; Salicaceae. The record is from RNAcentral.
ACGCCCUCUCUCUUUCUCUCUAGUGUUUCUCUCUACUCUCUCCACACAGAAUAACAUAAGCUUAGCUUGUUAUUUAUACACGAAUUCAAAACAAGAUAAUUCAACCUUCAAGUGUGAAGGCGGCUGUGGACGGUGGUGUGAAGGCGGCAUGCAGCUGGUGGCUGGCGGCUGGUCGGUGGCAGCUGGUGGUUGCCUUCCUUGACCAUCUAGAUUGAGUUUAAUAUUCAACAAAUCUCCCCUUUAAACUCAAUCGAGGGAUGUCAUGUCAAGCAUGAACUUUAAUCGGAUAAAUACUUCUCCUUUUAAUGGCUUUGUGAAGAUGUCAGCAACUUGAUCAUUUGUGUUGCAAGAUAUCAGUUGGACUUCUUCAUUCUUCAC